This 102-nucleotide non-coding RNA is filed under the name Anaerobacillus arseniciselenatis. RNAcentral describes it as "Guanine sequence". It matches the Rfam family "Purine riboswitch aptamer". From Rfam's summary of the family: Riboswitches are metabolite binding domains within certain messenger RNAs that serve as precision sensors for their corresponding targets. The record is from Rfam by way of RNAcentral. Lineage: Bacteria; Bacillati; Bacillota; Bacilli; Caryophanales; Bacillaceae.
AACGAUAUAUAAUAUUUUCUUCAUAUAAUAUUGGGGAUAUGGCCCGAAAGUUUCUACCUAAUGACCGUAAAUCGUUAGACUAUGAAGAGAAGCAAAUAUACU